RNAcentral lists this long non-coding RNA (610 nucleotides) under Homo sapiens (human). RNAcentral describes it as "family with sequence similarity 182 member B". Lineage: Eukaryota; Metazoa; Chordata; Mammalia; Primates; Hominidae. The record is from RNAcentral.
CGGGGCUCUGAGGCUCCGGCCUGACCUCUCCACAGGGUCGACGGGAACGUCUCUGGAUGCCAGGAGACGCAAAGGGCCGACCAGAAUGAGGAAUUCCCAGGCGGAGUCCAGGGGAGGCAGCACGGCAUCCCAGCCUCAGGGCUGCCCGGACGGUGUUGGUUGGGGUAAGAUUGGGGAAGAUGCCAGGUGAUAGAAUCCACCCUGCCUCUGACAGCAUCCAAUCUGGAGCAAAGGCUUAUUUCAACCCUCCCCCAAGCUCCCAAUACAAGCCCAAAUUCUGGAACAGGUCCUUUCCAACACCUCCUUCAGAGAAGCUCCCUGGCUCCAGGCAGUGCUUGCUCCCCUCACUGCAGCAGGAAGCCUAACUUGCGAACUGCAGGUGUGCUCCAGGUGGUCACUGGAUGCAAGGCAUUGACAGAUGGAUCCCAUCGAUACCCCCACUGCAAAACCAUAGUGCAGUGAAUAGAAGACACUUCUCUGCACCCCAAAAGCUCCAUGCUGAUUGUGAGAAGGAAAUGCUGGAUGGAGGGGUUCCUGGAACUACUGUGAGGGAAAUGGUGCGAGAACUUUGGAUGUGGAACGUGGAGGAGGAGGAACACGAAGUGGGGAU